GCAGGGUCUUCGUGCCGAGCGGGACCUCGGGCGCGGGAGUCGUCCGUGUGGGCUCCGAGCAGCCGGGCCGCCCUCCCUGCGACCCGCACCCCGGCGCCGCGUGGCUGUCUCCGCGCCCCCAGCCCCGACACCCCGUACCCGUGCGGCCUCCGAGCUCCGCCCGCGUCCCUAGGCGUCGCAGAACCGAUUUGCCAGGUAGAUAAAGAAGCUGUUACUAUCCUCCUUUACAAAAGAGGAAACGCGGCUCCAGCAGACUGUAGGCUACCAGGCUCCUCUGUCCAUGAGAUUCUCCAGGCAAGAGUACUGGAGUGGAUUGCUAUUUCCUUCUCCAGGGAAUCUUCCUGACACAGGGAUCAAACCCUUGUCUCCAGCUUGGCAGGUGGAUUCUUUACCACUGAGCCACCAGGGAAACCCAAUAUUCUGGAUAUGUUGGUUAAAUAAAACAUCUGUUGUUCAGUCACUCGGUCGUGUCCAACUCUUUGGGACCCCAGGGACUGUAGCGCACCAGGCUUCCCUGUCCUUCAUUAUCUCCUGGAGUUUUCUCAAACUCAUGUCCAUUGAGUCAAUGAUACUAUCCAACCAUCUCAUUCUCUGUCAUAAUAUCAAAUUAAUUCCAUCUGUUGCUCUUGAGUUUUCAGCGCAGCUUCUAGAAGAUGCGAGGUUUCACAGGUGGCACGCGUGGUGUCCCUGGCGGACACCGGUGCAGACAGCGGGGCACUACUGGAUAAGGAUUCCACGUGGAAGGCAGGCCACAGCGUCCGUCUUUUUCCUCCCGAUAAUUACAAAACCACCGAGGCCAAUUUACAAGAAGAAAAAAUAUUUCACCAGCAACAACAGACAGGGAAGGAUGCAAACCCACAUGCCAUAAGGCCAAAGGAGGGGAAGAGGUGCUGGUGGGGCUCUGUGGAACCCCCAGUACCUAAUGAAAGGGAGCUCGCAAAAUCCUGAGGGUCCUGACAGGGGGAAGAGCCAUGUGUAACACGUGUGUUUGAGCAUGUGUCUUAUGCUCACAGAGCAAGAAUUCACAAUUCAGAAAAGCAGAGGAACCAGAGAUCAAAUUGCCAACAUCCACUAGAUUAUCAAAAAAGCAAGAGAGUUCCAGAAAAACAACUAUUUCUGCUUUAUUGAUUAUGCCAAAGCCUUUGACUGUGUGGAUCAUAACAAAAUGUGGAAAAUUCUUCAAUAGACGGGAAUACCAGACUACCUUACCUGCCUCCUGAGAAAUCUGUCUGCAGGUCAGGACACAACAGUUAGAACUGGACAUGGAGCAACAGACGGGUUCCAAAUUGGGAAAGGAGUACGUCAAGGCUGUGUAUUGUCACCCUGCUUAUUUAACUUAUAUGCAGAGUACAUCAUGUGAAAUGCCGGGCUGGAUGAAG
Bos taurus (domestic cattle) is the source of this 1379-nucleotide long non-coding RNA. The record is from Ensembl. NCBI's taxonomy places the organism in Eukaryota, Metazoa, Chordata, Mammalia, Artiodactyla, Bovidae.